UCACUCGGAAUCGCCUGAGAUCGCCACCAUGAGCAGAUAUACAGUAACGUUCCUGGCGUUGAUCCUCUGCAUUGCUGUAUUUCGUUCCAGUGCGAAGCCUAGCGAUUAUUCUAAUGACUCAAAAGUACAAGAGAGAGCUGACCUUAGUUGGUGCAGUAAUUAUGGCUGCUCCUCCACUCCAUGUCCACCUCCCUGUCAGUGUCCUAGCGGGUGGCAAGCAGCAUUUAAUGGCAAAGGAUAUGUUUGCUACUGAAAAUAACAUUUCGUCGUUGUCUACAUUCGUACAGAAUCGUGUUCGUUAUGAAAUUCAAUCUUAAAUAAACGAUGAAACACCAUAAAUUGAUAGCGGGUAGAUUUUUCUUCUUGUGCUCGAAGCAAUCAUACUUGACUUUCGAAAUAAAGUAUAAGUUGUG
Long non-coding RNA from Rhipicephalus sanguineus (brown dog tick), 413 nucleotides. RefSeq lists it as uncharacterized. NCBI's taxonomy places the organism in Eukaryota, Metazoa, Arthropoda, Arachnida, Ixodida, Ixodidae. The transcript has 3 exons. The record is from RefSeq and is a predicted model, not a curated record.